UUAGUUGAAGCCAAAAAGAGGCAUCUUAAUGUUAAUAAGAAGAGUGAUUAAUUAUCCAACUAAA
RNAcentral lists this transfer RNA (64 nucleotides) under Populicerus populi. RNAcentral's name for it is "tRNA-Asn". Lineage: Eukaryota; Metazoa; Arthropoda; Insecta; Hemiptera; Cicadellidae. The record is from RNAcentral.